GUUGCCAAUUCUGAAAAUCAAUAAGCACAGGUAAAUUGUCCAUGGUUAUGUGGAUGUGCAGCUUACUACCCUACUAGUUACAUUUAAUGACAGAAAUCAAACUGAUUUCUUCAUGCAAACAAAAAGCAAAAAGCAAGGGAAGUGGGAAGGACCUAGAUCCAGGAACUAAAAGCCACGGCAGAUAGGACAGAGCAGACUAGUCACCCCCAGUUCUAUUCUCCCAUUCUUCUUUAGUUAUCAGAUUGUGACUUUCGGUGGGGUUCAUCACCUCUCAGAGCAAAGACCACAUUUUCUAGUCUUCUUUGCAGCUAGGUGUGAUCCAUUAGCCAAUGCAAUGUUAGCAAUUGUGCCUGGUGUUCAACUAUCAGCAAGUUUUCUUCAAGCAAGGAGUUCACCCCUUUGUCUUUCUGUUGUCUGUGAUGGGAACUCAAUGGCUGGUGCUCCAACAGUUUCUUGGACCGUGAGACAACCUCGAGAUCUAAAGCCAUGAUCUGAAGUCAGAGCACUGAGAGAGAGUGAACUAGAUCCCUGGUGCUGUGGGCCAUCACAUCAACCCUAGGAACAUGAAGUCACUUAGGGUGUUCUUUGAGGACACCUGAUCUGCCAUCACGAGACUAGGCACCUUGAGGACCUCCUCAUACCUCUCUAGUUAGCACAGUAUCAUGCAGAAGAAGAGGGCUAGAUCUGGAGAGGUUGCUUUGCGCUCAGAGCAGAGAGACACAGCCUGACGAUCAGCUUUCCUCAUUCAUUUUUCGGAAUGCAACCACAGGCAUGGCAUGCCGAACUGUUUACAGUGAAAAUAAAGGAAAGACUGCAGAAGAUGGCACCAAGAAAGUGGAUGGUGACAACCUUGAUUGAGAGGACUCUUCAGGGCAUCUGGGUGUUUUGGGUCCUUGUCUAGGAUUCUGGUGAUAUGGAAGAGGAUGUACGAUGUCCAGCCUGGGGAGAAAUGCAGAAGGCAGUUUAAUAAAGCAUGCAGUGGAAUUGCCCUCCCUGGCCCUCCAGAUUAUAACAGUGGAGCACGGCCUGUCAGCCUCCCUCCUUCUCUCUCUGCCUCCCUCCCUGCCUUCCCUCUUGUUUUUCUUUAAUUAAGGCUGGUAUCUCAAUGAGGAUCUGAAGAGAUGCUCAUAUGUGCUCAGAAACUCUUCUGCAGUGCAGUGUUCACAGAAGGCCUCGUGGUGCUCACUUUCCUGCUCAGAGCUGCAAAGUCGAGCCUCCGCUGAGCUGGCAAAGAAGAGCCUGACUUUGUACAGAGGAAAUAAGUGCGUUUUGGUCUUUAUUGUUUUUGUUUAUUUGUUUAUGGUUUUGGUUUGGUUUUUCUGAGAGUUCUAGUCCUUUGGCUUUUUAUUCCAGUCUGAGGAGAUGGGAUGCAAUUUAUCCACUUGUGCUUUUCUUUCUGGCUGUGUUUUUGGUUCAGGGCUCAAUGCUGGUCAUUUCAACUCUUUGAAAGAGCUUUUCACAAAAUCCUGAAGAGGUGAUGUGUGUUGUCAUCAACUGGGGCGGUGGAAACCAGAAGCUUGCAGCUUAGGAGUCUGCUUUUUGAAUUAGCUCUUUGGGUAAUCAGUAUUCACACUAAAACCCGAGAGCUUCCCUCUAAAGUCAUUGUGACCUUUGGGGGAAGAGAGUGCUUGAUAGGAAGAAAAAUAACCACAUGAGCUGCCUCUUCUGAACUCCACUGGCCUUCAGAAUCAGUUCAUAAAUAAGACCGUAAACUUCCUGAGGUAAGGAAUCUUAAAUUGCAUUUCUUUGUGUCUCAGACACAGCAGUAUGUAACCAUGGAAUGAGCACAGUCCUGAGAGUCAAAAACACCUGAGUUUCAACUCUAUCUGCAACUGUCUCACCUUGGAUAAAUCCCGUAACGUC
Equus caballus (horse) is the source of this 1863-nucleotide long non-coding RNA. The record is from Ensembl. NCBI's taxonomy places the organism in Eukaryota, Metazoa, Chordata, Mammalia, Perissodactyla, Equidae.